Molecule: ribosomal RNA, 388 nt
Filed under: Ctenophora sp. (in: diatoms)
Lineage: Eukaryota; Bacillariophyta; Fragilariophyceae; Fragilariales; Fragilariaceae
Description: Ctenophora sp. (in: Bacillariophyta) partial small subunit ribosomal RNA
Rfam family: Eukaryotic small subunit ribosomal RNA
Source: RNAcentral
AUUCCAGCUCCAAUAGCGUAUAUUAAAGUUGUUGCAGUUAAAAAGCUCGUAGUUGGAUUUCGGAACCGGCCGAUUGGUCCGUCCUCUGGAUCGUGUACUGAUCGGUCUGUUCUUCUUCGCGAAGACCGCGUGUGCCCUUAACUGGGUGGGCGCGGGAUUCGCGACGUUUACUUUGAAAAAAUUAGAGUGUUCAAAGCAGGCAGUCGCUUGAACAUCUCAGCAUGGAAUAAUAGAAUAGGACCUUGGUCUUAUUUUGUUGGUUUCCGAGACCGAAGUAAUGAUUAAUAGGGACAGUUGGGGGCAUUCGUAUUUCAUUGUCAGAGGUGAAAUUCUUGGAUUUAUGAAAGACGAACUUCUGCGAAAGCAUUUGCCAAGGAUGUUUUCAUUA